CCUACUGGUGGCAGCAGUGGGGAAUAUUGGACAAUGGGCGAAAGCCUGAUCCAGCCAUGCCGCGUGUGUGAAGAAGGCCUUCGGGUUGUAAAGCACUUUCAGUGGGGAAGAAAGCCUUGGGGCUAAUACCCUCGAGGAAGGACAUCACCCACAGAAGAAGCACCGGCUAACUCCGUGCCAGCAGCCGCGGUAAUACGGAGGGUGCGAGCGUUAAUCGGAAUUACUGGGCGUAAAGCGCGCGUAGGCGGUCUGAUAAGCCGGUUGUGAAAGCCCCGGGCUCAACCUGGGAACGGCAUCCGGAACUGUCAGGCUAGAGUGCAGGAGAGGAAGGUAGAAUUCCCGGUGUAGCGGUGAAAUGCGUAGAGAUCGGGAGGAAUACCAGUGGCGAAGGCGGCCUUCUGGACUGACACUGACGCUGAGGUGCGAAAGCGUGGGUAGCAAACAGGAUUAGAUACCCCAGUAGU
This 464-nucleotide ribosomal RNA is filed under the name Vreelandella stevensii. RNAcentral's name for it is "partial 16S ribosomal RNA". It matches the Rfam family "Bacterial small subunit ribosomal RNA", at positions 338 to 794 of the family's 1533-position model. The record is from RNAcentral. Lineage: Bacteria; Pseudomonadati; Pseudomonadota; Gammaproteobacteria; Oceanospirillales; Halomonadaceae.